GCUAAACGCGAAGAACCUUACCAGCCCUUGACAUGGCAGGACGGUUUCCAGAGAUGGAUUCCUUCACUUCGGUGACCUGGACACAGGUGCUGCAUGGCUGUCGUCAGCUCGUGUCGUGAGAUGUUGGGUUAAGUCCCGCAACGAGCGCAACCCUUAUUGACAGUUGCCAAUAUUAAGUUAGGAACUCUGUCAAGACUGCCGUUGAUAAAACGGAGGAAGGUGGGGACGAUGUCAAGUCAUCAUGGCCUUUAUGUUCAGGGCUACACACGUGCUACAAUGGAUGGUACAAAACGUCGCAAUCCUGCAAAGGGGAGCUAAUCGCAAAAACCAUUCUCAGUUCGGAUCGGAGUCUGCAACUCGACUCCGUGAAGUUGGAAUCGCUAGUAAUCGCAAAUCAGCAUGUUGCGGUGAAUACGUUCCCGGGUCUUGUACACACCG
Molecule: ribosomal RNA, 438 nt
Filed under: uncultured bacterium
Lineage: Bacteria
Description: bacterial SSU rRNA
Rfam family: Bacterial small subunit ribosomal RNA
Source: RNAcentral